RNA transcript from Rosa rugosa (rugosa rose), 2476 nucleotides. RefSeq lists it as uncharacterized. The record is from RefSeq and is a predicted model, not a curated record. Lineage: Eukaryota; Viridiplantae; Streptophyta; Magnoliopsida; Rosales; Rosaceae. The transcript is spliced from 2 exons.
UCCAUAACAAGUGAAGCAGAGAGUGUGAGGGAGUCGGCGCCCAGAAAUUGCAGAGUUAAUUUAGGAAACCAUUUGAAAAGCACAAAUUCAAAGACAGCAAAGCAAUCUUUUCACUGUUACAAGAUCAAAAUGCCAUAAAUUAACUUUGUAUUCUUGGUCUGGGGUUGCUAAACCCAGCAUUAACUUUGUAUACAUAUUAUUGGUAUCCAGCACUAAGAAGCUUUUGAGAGUUUGGUCGAGACUUUAUUGGUCCAGCAUUAAGAAACUCUGGUAAAAGCUAUGUACCGGGCACAGACUGCUCUCUAAUACCCAGCAACAAGGCUUAACUCUCAAAGUUGUUACCUUUGUAGCUUUUUGUUCUCUGUAUCUCUUACCCAGCAACUAGAAUGCUUUUCCUUUCUCAACUUUCUAGCUCUCUCUCUCUCUCGCGCUCUCGUCGGGUACCUCUUUGGCAUCAGUCCUGUUCCUUUGUUUGUGACUAUUCAAGACUCUCAAAGGUAAAAGAUCUCAUCUAAUCCAGGGGCGGAUCCAUUCACAGACUAGGACGGGCUCCGAGAUUUUGAAGCCAAAAAAAAAAAUUAGAUGUAUGUUUUUUAUUUUUAUUUUUAAUUGGGGUUUGUCCAGACCAUUAAGCCCAGACCCCAGUCACUCUCGCGAUCUCACCCUAGUCCCGACUCGGAGACGCAGUCACGCUCUCAGUCUCUCCCACUUCCUCAGUUCCUUCUCCUCUCGUCAGUCGCCGCCUGCCUCAGCCGGCUCUCCCGAGUCCCGACUCCAUCUCCGAUUACACCAGUUAAAAAACGUCGGGCAAGCAAAACAGCUUCGAGACUGAGAGACCCAACCGCGCUACACUCGAUGCCCGAGUUUACUUGAGGUAAAUUCUAAUUAGAAUUUACCUCAAGUAAAUCUGUAAAGGGGGUGAAAGAAUAUGCACCGUUUGCUCCAUUCGAUGGUCAAAAAAUAUAAAAUAGUAGUCUUUCAAUUUCGAAUAGGGAGUCCAUAAUAUUAUAGAUAUAUAGUCUGUAAAUCUUAUUCUUAAGUACACUUUAUAUUGGUAGCUUCCUUUAUAAACUAAUUUUGUUUCGUUUUUUCCAGAUCUCUCAUUAAUGUGGUUGUCAAGGAGUUGGAAAUUAGAGGGAGUCUGACACAGAACUUUCAGCAAUAUCUCUUGCACGAGGCUAAUCAGCGCUUGGACCAAGCAUCAGACAAAUACAAUCGUAUGGAGGCGAGACAUUUUUUGGAUAUGUUGAGUAAAGAGCUACCCAUGUAAGCUUCCAAUCAUUGUUCUUUAUGAAUAUGUGCAUGAAUUCGAUGAAUGAUAUGAAUACAAUGCUUAGAACUACCAAAUAUACAAUGAAGUCUAAUAUUUUGUAUUGUAUGUAAUUCCUAUUGUAUUCCGAUUGCUGCUGUGAUUUGAUAGUUGGAUGUAUGAUGACUUCUUGCUUUUGUUUCGGUAAUAGGAGAUUCAAUAGUCUAGGAAUGUAUUGUUACUUUGAGGAUAGAUAGUGUUGCACUGCUGUUGAAAAUUGUGUUGCAGUAACACUUCAUUUUCAGAGUACUUGAAGAGAAUAUGAGAUGUGUAUAGGAUUGACACAAGCACUCUCUCCACUGCACUAUGUUAUUUGAUGUAGAAACACAUGGUGGGUAUGGAUCAUGUCCUUUUAGGUAUUCUCUACUUGCACCGUCAAUAUUUUGAUAUCCAAAUUCACUUACAUCACUGUGCAAUAAUCACAACCACUACUGCUGUUAGCAUUGCCUUUGGUACAUUUGUGCAUUCAGGAAUAUAUGCAUCACUGCAGCUUACGGCUUCCAUUUUCAAGUUAAUUGUAAAUUUUCAAUAGACUCAUCUAGAUGAACUCUGAUUAACCUGAUGGGUCGUUGAUCAAAUUUUUAAGUCAAUUGUGAAUUCUUAUUAGAUUCUUCUAGAUGAACUAUGAUUAUGACUAUAGCAAGGAUCACUGCUAAAAGAAAAAAAGGAGAGGAAGUUUUCAUAUUAGGAUCAUUGCAUACUUUAUAUUUCUGCACAAGUUAGUAAUUGAUUGUGAAUGACAAAAUUAAUGUUUUUCUCUAUUAUGUAAAGACGUAUUCUGAAAAAUAUGAGAAAUCAUCCUUGUUUACAAUAUGAUCGGCAGAGGACAUUUACAGUGUACAAUUUCUGGCAAUUUUCUCAACCUUAACAGAGUUGUCCCUUGAGAUAUUCACUUAUUGCAUCGAGAAUGACAUUGAUAUGGAUGAGUUUUUUGAAUAUCCGAAAACUAGUAAUGAGGUAGAGAUGGAGAGGAGAAUUCAGAGUGUAUUAGGAAUCGAUGUCGAGAUUGGAGGAAGUGGAGAUAUUAGAGGGAAGUUUGAAAGUAAAAACAUGUUUGAUCUGUUGCAAGAAGGGGAUGAACAGAGUCAGGGAGGAGAUGGGAGUAGUGGUGGUAAUGGCAGCCACGAAGGGAGUGAUAUUUCUACUGCUGUUGAAGAAGUCAGUGAC